AUCUAGGUCAGUCAUAACUUUUCUUCCAAGGAGUAAGCGUCUUUUAAUUUACAGGAUCUUAAUUUCUAUAAUCACAAGACUCUCUCAGCAAGGGAUGCACCUGACACUUUUGGAAAUUCAAAAUAACACUUUCACACUGAAAAAGAAGUAGCCGUCAAUCAAACCACUUCUUUCUUCACUGUUACUGGCCACCAUUGGAAUAAAACUUAUCAUCCUGAGAUGAAUAAUCCCAAAUAUUCAACUCCAAACUCGUAGGAUUGAUUCCUGACUCCAGCAGCAUAUUCUGGGAUUUAAAUCUAGCAAAAACUGUCUGGCAGUUACUCUGACCUAGAAGGGAACAGGAGGCAAAAAGAAAACUCCCUUCCAAGGACUGCUAUCAGAACUGUUGGCUAUUUGCAGAAUUCUUAUGUCAACCGGACCAGUAAACAAGUGUUAAUAUUGCAAAGGGGAGCCAAUAUCCAGAGGGAAUUCAAUGUAGUUAGCUGAGUGGCGCAGAGCAUGGAGAUCCGAGAGGGAAUUGUGUGAACUCCUGGAAGCCAGAAGUCAGUGGCUGACAGCGAUGAAAUGGUGCUGCUUCAAAGCCGACUGGGCUGUGACCUGAACAUUGCACAUCCUUGCGCUCAGCGAGAGAGGAUCAAUGACUGUGUUUGCUGGGCUCUAGUCAUCCCUCUGGCUAAUGAAAGCUGGACUGAAAGGCAUGCUAUGGGGCCCCUGGGCAGCCUGCAGCCUGGCAUUAGCAGAGUCUGUUAUACAGCCAGGCUGGGGAGUGUACCAGGCACCAAAGCCUCCCUCACCCCACCGCCUUCCGUCUUCCAGCCCACCAACUCCCCUCUGGCUGUCUGUUUAGUGUCACUCAGUUGGGAUGGAUCCUGUUAAAGAUCUGACGCUUAGUGAGGACUCGGAGGUGUCUGGAACGCCUGCCUCUAAUCAUAAACACCACAGCUGGCAAUGAUGUGGUCGAAAAAAAAAAAUCACCUUGAUCCAGUACACAUUCUCUUUGAUGUUUCUACAGCGAGUUCACUGCCCAGAGAAAAAGUGAGGACACCAUGCACGGUAAGAGAAGCAAUCAGGAUGAAGACAGUAAUAUUAAACAGGAUGCCAAGGAAGUCAGUAGAAGCAGAGCUGACGAUACCCUCAAAGCUGUCCAUCCUCAUCACAAUGGGUGCUGAUGACCCAGGAAACGGUAUGAAGAAUGGAGUAGGAUCUACUACCAGAAGCAGAAGCAGAUUUACCAGGGACCUAAAGAGGCUUCAGCUUCAGGUCUCUCAUCUGACCAGGCCACUGGUGUUUCAGUGA
Molecule: long non-coding RNA, 1296 nt
Filed under: Capra hircus (goat)
Lineage: Eukaryota; Metazoa; Chordata; Mammalia; Artiodactyla; Bovidae
Description: lncRNA (ENSCHIG00010005058.1)
Source: RNAcentral